Molecule: ribosomal RNA, 254 nt
Filed under: uncultured bacterium
Lineage: Bacteria
Description: partial 16S ribosomal RNA
Rfam family: Bacterial small subunit ribosomal RNA
Source: RNAcentral
GACGUAGGGCGCGAGCGUUGUCCGGAAUUAUUGGGCGUAAAGAGCUUGUAGGUGGCUCGUUGCGUCGGGAGUGAAAACCUGCGGCUUAACCGCAGGCCUGCUUCCGAUACGGGCGAGCUAGAGUUCGGCAGGGGAGACUGGAAUUCCUGGUGUAGCGGUGGAAUGCGCAGAUAUCAGGAGGAACACCGGUGGCGAAGGCGGGUCUCUGGGCCGAUGACUGACACUGAGAAGCGAAAGCGUGGGGAGCGAACAGG